Molecule: ribosomal RNA, 180 nt
Filed under: uncultured bacterium
Lineage: Bacteria
Description: partial 16S ribosomal RNA
Rfam family: Bacterial small subunit ribosomal RNA
Source: RNAcentral
UAGGGAAUCUUCCAGCAAUGGACGAAAGCCUGACGGAGCAACGCCGCGUGAGUGAUGAAGGCCUUCGGGUCGUAAAGCUCUGUUGUCAGGGAAGAACAAGUACCGGAGUAACUGCCGGUACCUUGACGGUACCUGACCAGAAAGCCACGGCUAACUACAUGCCAGCAGCCGCGGUAAUUA